UAUCUGUCAUCAAAACCACAAGGGACCUGGACCACUUCACAUUUGGUUGUUGAAUGAAGCUGUUCUUCGGUUACUAGAACUGCUGCACGACAGCUGAUCAGCUGUACAAUCAACUGAUAGAACCAGGAACAAUCACACGAUAGCAUAAAAUUCAUGAUUUCUUCACAGAGUUCAUCAAUACUUGGUGUCAAGGUUGAGCAGACAGGCCUGGUCCUUUCUUGGUAUGGAGGCUUUCGUUCAAAAGGACUGGAACUU
RNAcentral lists this long non-coding RNA (255 nucleotides) under Bos grunniens (domestic yak). RNAcentral describes it as "lncRNA (ENSBGRG00000007135.1)". Lineage: Eukaryota; Metazoa; Chordata; Mammalia; Artiodactyla; Bovidae. The record is from RNAcentral.